RNAcentral lists this non-coding RNA (26 nucleotides) under Cricetulus griseus (Chinese hamster). The record is from RNAcentral. Lineage: Eukaryota; Metazoa; Chordata; Mammalia; Rodentia; Cricetidae.
AUCAGACAUAGUGUCGAGGGCCCUGG